Molecule: ribosomal RNA, 253 nt
Filed under: Phocaeicola coprocola DSM 17136
Lineage: Bacteria; Pseudomonadati; Bacteroidota; Bacteroidia; Bacteroidales; Bacteroidaceae
Description: partial 16S ribosomal RNA
Rfam family: Bacterial small subunit ribosomal RNA
Source: RNAcentral
UACGGGGGAUGCGAGCGUUAUCCGGAUUUAUUGGGUUUAAAGGGAGCGCAGACGGGGGAUUAAGUCAGUUGUGAAAGUUUGCGGCUCAACCGUAAAAUUGCAGUUGAUACUGGUCCUCUUGAGUGCAGUUGAGGCAGGCGGAAUUCGUGGUGUAGCGGUGAAAUGCUUAGAUAUCACGAAGAACCCCGAUUGCGAAGGCAGCUUGCUAAACUGUAACUGACGUUCAUGCUCGAAAGUGUGGGUAUCAAACAGG